Long non-coding RNA from Oncorhynchus tshawytscha (Chinook salmon), 3583 nucleotides. The record is from Ensembl. Lineage: Eukaryota; Metazoa; Chordata; Actinopteri; Salmoniformes; Salmonidae.
UCUUGGUUCACUUUGGCUUGUGGCUGUAGGUCCUGUUGGGCUACUAGAGCUGAAGUGCAAGAUAGGACAGCAGCUAGCUGAUAGCAUUAUCUGCUGGACUAUGGUACUCAUCUGGCCUAUUAGCACUGAAUCAUCUUUGUGGUUAGGAGUGGAGGUGCUAGGUGAGGUGAGCCUAGGUGAGUUGACUACAUGAUGACCAUGAGAAGCUGCAUUGUCCCCACUGACUAAAGGAACUUCCCCUGCAAUUUCACUAACAUUGACAUCACCACACACACACACACACACACACACACACACACACACACAAGGACUACCAGUUGGGGAAGGAAUAGGUGACCUCAACACACCUCUUCCCCUACCAACAUUGACAGGUGUAAGCAGAUCUGAACAACCAAUACGGUUUAAACUCAUUGUAGUAGCUCAAAAUGAAAGAAAAAAAAACGUAACAAAUGACAGAUGUGUCUGUGUUUCCUCUCGCUGCCUGUAGACUGAGAAGAUAGGACGGCUCCCAGUUCGAUGAGGAACACCAAUCUUGAUUGUUGAUCCGGGUCACAGCACCAAUGUGACCUUCCUGGUCCCGUCCGUGAGUCAACACAGGAAGGAGUAAUGGAUGGAUAGUUAUUUUAUUUCCAAAACUACAAUCAUGGGACACACACAGUAUGGAUGAAUGAUGAGUAGUAGCCGGGAUAUAAACAGCAAUCCCACAGCAAUUCUCCAUGUAUCUGCUGUAUAAUAUACUGACAAAAGAACAAUUGAAAUGUCUUUCAAAGUCAUAGUGCAUUUAACAAUAAUUAAAAAUAUAUAUUGUUUCCAUGUGUAAUCUCAUAUUCACAACAUCAGAAUAAACUAUCAUCCUUUUUAGUAUCAAAAUAAAUCAAAUUAAUCUAAAAUUACUCUGUCACACUCUUGUGGCAAAGAAAUAUAAUACACCUAGAAUGUACCACAUAUUUUCCUCAGCUAACAAAACCAGGCUAAUACGCUGGUUGGUGCUCAUGAGUUUAUAAAACAUAUAUUUUAUAUAUUUGUCAUAAAUUACCUGCAAUGAUGGGACACACACAGUAUGGAUGAAUGAUCAGUAGUCGACAGGAUACAAAUGGCACUCCUAAAGAAGAUGCAUUCGUUAGCUAGCAUAAAACUCACAUGGCAAGUAACAUAUGGAGUGGCUUAUUUGACGCUAAACCAACAACAUUAAUUACUAAACAUAAAUUGCUAAUGUACGAGGUAAAAUGUGGGUUUUAUGAUUUAAUGUCAACUUUAUACAUUUCUGUCCCUAGACCAUUCAAUUUUCAACUCACCCACAGCAAUUCUCCAUAAUUCUGCUGUGGAUUACCCAGAAUCGCAUACCUUUAUCACUGAGUGUGUUAGACAAUGUAAACACAGUAAUCCACCGGGAGGUGGCAUAAUGUUCAUUUUAUGUUGGAAUUUAACAAUUUAAUCAUACUGUUACAAGAGCAACUGUUGACAAUUUGCAGAGCCUCGCUGUACAGUGGAAAAACUGGAAAGGUUCAGGAUUGGAAGAAUACAUGAUCAGGACAGUGGAGGAUGACCUGGUGGAAAUGAAGAAUAAAUGCUGCUCAUGCUGCAAAGAAUUUCCACUGUGUUAGCAGAUGCUGAGACGGUACAACCUGCUGACUGAUGCAUACCAUAUACUUGGCCUUGGAUACCAGUUCCUACUCACCCUCUCAGUUACCCAGGUAGUUCCUACUCACCCUCUCAGUUACCCAGGUAGUUCCUACUCACCCUCUGUUACCCAGGUAGCUUGUGAGUGAAGUUUCUCUACCUUAAAGUAUAUCAAGAGCACUCUCUCACAAGAACACCUAGAGGCCUUCAUGCUGAUGGCCACCGGGAAGGACAUCCUAAUGGCCCUGGAUACUGACAUGGUGAUCCAUAGAGUUGCAGAGAAAAGCCAGCUGUUGUGACAUAUUUUCUAUAACUUGCUUACUUACCAUUAUUUAAGUCCUACAUUUCUAAUGUCUCUUCUUCCUGUCUGUGAUUUUGCUGUCCAAUACUUUGACAGAGUAAAGCCAGCCAGCUGACCUUGAGCAGCAGUUAGACAGUUCUAUGUUUCAGUUACGUUCUAUGUUUGGAGAGGUGUUCAACCAUUGUUUUUUAGAAGGUGUACUCCCAUGACUUAAAGCCAGCCAGCUGACCCUGAGCAGCAGUUAGACAGUUCUAUGUCUCAGUGAGUAUUGUGGAUAUUUUAGCAUCUCUUUUUCACUCAAGGCUUCAUGUGAUGUGAGGUAGUUCAAUCAUGACAAAUUCAGUGUGUUUUCUGUAGAGGUUUUAUAACAAUGUGCAGCAUUUGUGUGUGUGCGUUCCGCAGCCUUUUUAAAGUAGUACUGCAAUGGUGAUCAAUGGUUGUGAUGCAGCUAGGUGGUUGUAUUAGGGACUGGUCGUGUGUGCAUUAGCAAGGCGGUUGUGGGGGAGUAUACGGGGGCCAGUUCUGGUGUGCUGGUCUGGAUCAAAGUCCUGGGCCGUUUUUUACUCCCAGUCCAUCCCUGACUGUAUGUAAUGUAUUGUCAUAAAACAUUUAAUUAUAAUGAUAACAUUCACCUAGGAAUUCACUUGUUGAAGGCCACAGGUCUAAAAAUGAUCAAAUUCAACAACCAUCUCCAUGUUACUAACAAAUCUAGUCAUGGGUGGUAAUGCUACAAUUCACUCAAAGGCAAGGCACACAGGGAAAUUAUAUUCAAAUCAAAUUUAUUUAUAUAGCCCUUCGUACAUCAGCUGAUAUCUCAAAGUGCUGUACAGAAACCCAGCCUAAAACCCCAAACAGCAAGCAAUGCAGGUGUAGAAGCACGGUGGCUAGGAAAAACUCCCUAGAAAGGCCAAAACCUAGGAAGAAACCUAGAGAGGAACCAGGCUAUGUGGGGUGGGCAGUCCUCUUCUGGCUGUGCCGGGUGGAGAUUAUAACAGAACAUGGCCAAGAUGUUCAAAUGUUCAUAAAUGAUCAGCAUGGUCGUAUAAUAAUAAGGCAUAACAGUUGAAACUGGAGCAGCAGCACGGUCAGAUGGACUGGGGACAGCAAGGAGUCAUCAUGUCAGGUAGUCCUGGGGCAUGGUCCUAGGGCUCAGGUCCUCCGAGAGAGAGAAGGAGAGAAUUAGAGAACGCACACUUAGAUUCACACAUGUUGGGGCUUAUUUUUUAUACACCUCAAAUGUGAACUCCCUACAGGAUCACAGUGACUCUAUCGGUUUAAGUGAGGACUACAAAAUCACUUUAAGUAACUGUACUCAGAUAUACUAAGUGCAAUGGGUUUCCUCAAAAGUUUUGAGUAAUGACAGGGUUUACAGUGUAUGAUCAAUAUAUUAUGCAAGUUUGAUUUACAUUUUAAUAAUUCUACUUUUUCUGUAUUUAAACUUUUAUUUUGUUGUGAAAUUAAUCUUGCUGCUCUGUGUGCCACUGACUUCUUUACUUUUUGGCCUUGUUUUGCAUAUUUUUUAACUUCCUAUAAUCCUUAUUAUACUGUAUUUAUUCCUAUAUAUAUUUAUUCCUCAUUUGUAAAUGUUGUUUAUGGACUCACGUUGUAAAAUAUCUGUUUAUUUUUCCCCCUUCUGGAACAAUAAAGACUUACUGAACUGAA